Molecule: ribosomal RNA, 480 nt
Filed under: Pasiropsis sp. 00052217
Lineage: Eukaryota; Metazoa; Arthropoda; Insecta; Hemiptera; Reduviidae
Also listed under: 1 other name
Description: partial 28S ribosomal RNA
Rfam family: Eukaryotic large subunit ribosomal RNA
Source: RNAcentral
AGUAAAGAGUGGAAAAUUUAUAAAUUUUUAAUUUAUAAAUUUUCCCUUGAGGGAAGAUGGAGAUUUUAAAUAAUUUUCUUUUUUUUUCUUUUUGAAAAAAAAAAGUUAUUUAAUAAUCUGUCGCAUUCCCAAGGCGCUUGUUUCUCGCUUUGCGAGUCAAUGCGCACUUAGAGCGUACACGCUGAUACCCGAAAGAUGGUGAACUAUGCCUGGCCAGGACGAAGCCAGGGGAAACCCUGGUGGAGGUCCGCAGCGAUUCUGACGUGCAAAUCGAUCGUCGGAGCUGGGUAUAGGGGCGAAAGACCAAUCGAACCAUCUAGUAGCUGGUUCCCUCUGAAGUUUCCCUCAGGAUAGCUUGCGCUCGGUUGAGACGAGUCUCAUCCGGUAGAGCGAAUGAUUAGAGGCAUUGGGGUCGAAACGACCUCAACCUAUUCUCAAACUCCAAAUAGAUGAGAACCCCGGCUUUCUUGAAAAAUUGAA